UGCUGAAAGCAUCUAAGCACGAAACUUGCCCCGAGAUGAGUUCUCCCUGAGACUGUAAGUCUCCUGAAGGAACGUUGAAGACGACGACGUUGAUAGGCCGGGUGUGUAAGCGCAGCGAUGCGUUGAGCUAACCGGUACUAAUGAACCGUGAGGCUUAACCUUACAACGCCAAAGAAGU
RNAcentral lists this ribosomal RNA (178 nucleotides) under Cronobacter sakazakii. RNAcentral's name for it is "partial 23S ribosomal RNA". It matches the Rfam family "Bacterial large subunit ribosomal RNA", at positions 2769 to 2925 of the family's 2925-position model. Lineage: Bacteria; Pseudomonadati; Pseudomonadota; Gammaproteobacteria; Enterobacterales; Enterobacteriaceae. The record is from RNAcentral.